RNAcentral lists this ribosomal RNA (460 nucleotides) under uncultured bacterium. Its description in RNAcentral is "partial 16S ribosomal RNA". It matches the Rfam family "Bacterial small subunit ribosomal RNA", at positions 338 to 795 of the family's 1533-position model. The record is from RNAcentral.
CCUACGGGAGGCAGCAGUGAGGAAUAUUGGUCAAUGGACGAAAGUCUGAACCAGCCAUGCCGCGUGCAGGAAGACGGCUCUAUGAGUUGUAAACUGCUUUUGUACGAGGGUAAACGCAGAGAUGCGUAUCUGUCUGAAAGUAUCGUACGAAUAAGCAGCGGCUAACUCCGUGCCAGCAUCCGCGGUAAUACGGGGGAUUCAAGCGUUAUCCGGAUUUAUUGGGUUUAAAGGGUGUGUAGGCGGUCGGAUAAGUUAGAGGUGAAAGCCCGAGGCUCAACUUCGGAAUUGCCUCUGAUACUGUUCGGCUAGAGAGUAGUUGCGGUAGGCGGAAUGUAUGGUGUAGCGGUGAAAUGCUUAGAGAUCAUACAGAACACCGAUUGCGAAGGCAGCUUACCAAGCUACUUCUGACGUUGAGGCACGAAAGCGUGGGGAGCAAACAGGAUUAGAUACCCUGGUAGUC